Molecule: small nuclear RNA, 108 nt
Filed under: Neotoma lepida (desert woodrat)
Lineage: Eukaryota; Metazoa; Chordata; Mammalia; Rodentia; Cricetidae
Source: RNAcentral
GAUUCCUUGCUUCAGUAUAUCAUAUAUUAAUGUGGAACAAUACAGAAAAGAUUAACAUGGCCCCUACACAAAAAUGAAAUGCAAAUUUGUCAAAAGUUCCAUAAUUUU